RNAcentral lists this ribosomal RNA (401 nucleotides) under uncultured bacterium. Its description in RNAcentral is "bacterial SSU rRNA". It matches the Rfam family "Bacterial small subunit ribosomal RNA", at positions 355 to 773 of the family's 1533-position model. The record is from RNAcentral.
UGGGGAAUAUUGGACAAUGGGCGAAAGCCUGAUCCAGCAAUGCCGCGUGAGUGGUGAAGGCCUUAGGGUUGUAAAGCUCUUUUACCCGGGAUGAUAAUGACAGUACCGGGAGAAUAAGCCCCGGCUAACUCCGUGCCAGCAGCCGCGGUAAUACGGAGGGGGCUAGCGUUGUUCGGAAUUACUGGGCGUAAAGCGCACGUAGGCGGCUUUGUAAGUUAGAGGUGAAAGCCUGGAGCUCAACUCCAGAACUGCCUUUAAGACUGCAUCGCUUGAAUCCAGGAGAGGUGAGUGGAAUUCCGAGUGUAGAGGUGAAAUUCGUAGAUAUUCGGAAGAACACCAGUGGCGAAGGCGGCUGUCUGGUCCGGUUCUGACGCUGAGGCGCGAAAGCGUGGGGAGCAAAC